GUCUAACUGACGAGUCCCAAAUAAGGCGAAACGCGCCUCAUAGAU
Non-coding RNA from Schistosoma curassoni, 45 nucleotides. Lineage: Eukaryota; Metazoa; Platyhelminthes; Trematoda; Strigeidida; Schistosomatidae. The record is from Rfam.